GGCCGAGUGGUGUAGUUGGUUAUCACGUUUCGUUAACAAAACAGGAUCACAUUUGAUCCGAAAAGGUCCUGAGUUCGAGUCUCAGCUUGGUCA
Molecule: non-coding RNA, 93 nt
Organism: Emergomyces africanus
Lineage: Eukaryota; Fungi; Ascomycota; Eurotiomycetes; Onygenales; Ajellomycetaceae
Source: the annotation of a GenBank genome assembly